Molecule: ribosomal RNA, 392 nt
Filed under: uncultured bacterium
Lineage: Bacteria
Description: partial 16S ribosomal RNA
Rfam family: Bacterial small subunit ribosomal RNA
Source: RNAcentral
AUACGGAGGAUCCGAGCGUUAUCCGGAUUUAUUGGGUUUAAAGGGUGCGCAGGCGGCCAUUUAAGUCAGCGGUUAAAUCGUGGGGCUCAACCCCAUUCUGCCGUUGAUACUGGGUGGCUUGAUUGCGGUCGAGGUUGGCGGAAUUCGUUGUGUAGCGGUGAAAUGCAUAGAUAUGUCGAAGAACACCGAUUGCGUAGGCAGCUGACCAGACCGCAAAUGACGCUCAUGCACGAAAGUGCGGGGAUCGAACAGGAUUAGAUACCCUGGUAGUCCGCACAGUAAACGAUGAAUACUUGUUUUCGGCGAUAUAAUGUCGGAGGCAAAGCGAAAGCGAUAAGUAUUCCACCUGGGGAGUACGCCGGCAACGGUGAAACUCAAAUGAAUUGGCGGGG